Molecule: long non-coding RNA, 252 nt
Organism: Manihot esculenta (cassava)
Lineage: Eukaryota; Viridiplantae; Streptophyta; Magnoliopsida; Malpighiales; Euphorbiaceae
Exons: 2
Source: RefSeq, a predicted model, not a curated record
CAUAUAUAAAUUAGAUUAAAGAAAAAGUUGAGUGGUAUGCUCGAAGAAGCUUCCCGCAGGGCGGUGCCGCGUAGGCGAAUGAAAGCAGCCUGCUCUUCCUGGAUUCUCAAGUCAUCAAGUGUAAACGCAAUAAUUUGAAGGCGAUGAAGAUGGGAGACGGAAGUAUAAAUAAAGAUGGAAGAAAUUAGCCGCCCUCUUGUUCUAAUUAAUACAUCUGAUUGAGAUUUCGGGUAUGCGUUUCUUGCAUACAGU